RNAcentral lists this transfer RNA (80 nucleotides) under Oryctolagus cuniculus (rabbit). It matches the Rfam family "tRNA". Rfam says of the family: Transfer RNA (tRNA) molecules are approximately 80 nucleotides in length. Their secondary structure includes four short double-helical elements and three loops (D, anti-codon, and T loops). Lineage: Eukaryota; Metazoa; Chordata; Mammalia; Lagomorpha; Leporidae. The record is from Rfam by way of RNAcentral.
GGUGCUGUGGCACAACAGGUAAAGCCCGGGUCUGCAGUGCCGGCAUCCCGCAGGCCCAGGUUCAAGUCCCGGCUGCUCCA